Triplophysa rosa is the source of this 264-nucleotide long non-coding RNA. RefSeq lists it as uncharacterized. Lineage: Eukaryota; Metazoa; Chordata; Actinopteri; Cypriniformes; Nemacheilidae. The record is from RefSeq and is a predicted model, not a curated record. The transcript has 3 exons.
CGCUUUGGGAAUCAGUUCUCCAGCACAACCCGAUGGCUUUCCAGACUUCAAAAUAUCGAGCGUCGACUACAUGCACUCGGCGUCCUGGAGAAUCACCCGAAUGAGGUUCAGUACUUCUGGCCCAGCCAGCACGUGGGUUUAAUUCUGGAUGAUCACAUACCGUUUCUCAACCGAGGAGUCCGAAUUCUUCACCUAUUGACUCCUUUUCCCGCGGUCUGGCACACCUUCGACAAUGAGGAGAAUCUGGAUCGCUCCUCCAUCAAC